Heterocephalus glaber (naked mole-rat) is the source of this 666-nucleotide non-coding RNA. Lineage: Eukaryota; Metazoa; Chordata; Mammalia; Rodentia; Bathyergidae. The record is from RefSeq and is a predicted model, not a curated record.
AAGUAUCUUAGAAUCUUGGGUCUAAAACUUAGUUUCCUCAGUUGAGGACUAACGGAAAAAGAUAAAGUUUAAUUUCCAUCUUUUAAGGCUUUCUAACGGAUGGCUGUCAAAACAGCAAAGAGUCGGAAAGGAUAUGUGAAAAUUAUACAUUGUUCCAUUUUUAUUAGUGCUCAAGGAAAAGAGGACCACAGACGAGUGUUUCCAAAGGAGAUCUUCAUACCUAUUUGGAUUCAUUUAAUAAAGAGCAGAUAGUUACUGAAUGAGGAAAAUCGAGUUUCUUCUCAAGCUGCCUGCAUUAUAUUCAACCCAUUGAAGUACAAAGUACUACAGCUGACGAGUCUGAGGUGCACCUCCUGCAACAGAGAGGCAGCAGCAAAACGGCCACGUCCAGGGGAGCAGAACCAGCACCCGGCAGUCUGGGGCAGUGUCUUCCUGUCCCAUUACUGUGAGUCUCAUGGAUGCUCUUGAAUUUCCAUUCAAUUCCCACCAGUGCUACCUCAUGUCUAAAGUGUUCCGGUGACCUAGCUAGCACAUCAUUCUUAUAGGAUAUUUUGGUUUUUUAUACUAUUACUCUCCAUUAAUGCCAGAUACUGACCAGGUCUUUUGCAAAUUUUUUUGCUUUUUUAAUUGUUUUUGAGUUACAAUAUAUGAGGAAAAUGCAAAAAA